GACGAACGCUGGCGGCGUGCUUAACACAUGCAAGUCGAACGGAAAGGCCUGCAGCUUGCUGCGGGUACUCGAGUGGCGAACGGGUGAGUAACACGUGGGUGAUCUGCCUUGCACUUCGGGAUAAGCUUGGGAAACUGGGUCUAAUACCGGAUAGGACAGCUGUUUAGUGUCAGUUGUGGAAAGUUUUUUCGGUGCAAGAUGAGCUCGCGGCCUAUCAGCUUGUUGGUGGGGUAAUGGCCUGCCAAGGCGUCGACGGGUAGCCGGCCUGAGAGGGUGUACGGCCACAUUGGGACUGAGAUACGGCCCAGACUCCUACGGGAGGCAGCAGUGGGGAAUAUUGCACAAUGGGCGGAAGCCUGAUGCAGCGACGCCGCGUGGGGGAUGAAGGCCUUCGGGUUGUAAACUCCUUUCGACAGGGACGAAGCUUUUGUGACGGUACCUGUAGAAGAGGCACCGGCUAACUACGUG
This 468-nucleotide ribosomal RNA is filed under the name uncultured bacterium. RNAcentral's name for it is "partial 16S ribosomal RNA". It matches the Rfam family "Bacterial small subunit ribosomal RNA", at positions 28 to 507 of the family's 1533-position model. The record is from RNAcentral.